This 851-nucleotide ribosomal RNA is filed under the name uncultured bacterium. RNAcentral describes it as "bacterial SSU rRNA". It matches the Rfam family "Bacterial small subunit ribosomal RNA", at positions 51 to 901 of the family's 1533-position model. The record is from RNAcentral.
CUAUCUGCAGUCGAGGGGCAGCACAGGUAGCAAUACUGGGUGGCGACCGGCAAACGGGUGCGGAACACGUACGCAACCUUCCUUCAAGCGGGGAAUAGCCCAGAGAAAUUUGGAUUAAUACCCCAUAAGAAUGUGGACUGGCAUCAGUCAGCAUUUAAAGAUUUAUCACUUGAAGAUGGGCGUGCGUCUGAUUAGGUAGUUGGUGAGGUAACGGCUCACCAAGCCGACGAUCAGUAACUGGCGUGAGAGCGCGACCAGUCACACGGGCACUGAGACACGGGCCCGACUCCUACGGGAGGCAGCAGUAAGGAAUAUUGGUCAAUGGACGCAAGUCUGAACCAGCCAUGCCGCGUGGAGGAUGAAGGCCCUCUGGGUUGUAAACUUCUUUUAUUUGGGACGAAACACUUCUUUUCUAAGGAGCUUGACGGUACCAGAUGAAUAAGCACCGGCUAACUCCGUGCCAGCAGCCGCGGUAAUACGGAGGGUGCAAGCGUUAUCCGGAUUCACUGGGUUUAAAGGGUGCGUAGGCGGACAUGUAAGUCCGUGGUGAAAUCUCCGAGCUUAACUCGGAAACUGCCAUGGAUACUAUAUGUCUUGAAUGUUGUGGAGGUUAGCGGAAUAUGUCAUGUAGCGGUGAAAUGCAUAGAUAUGACAUAGAACACCAAUUGCGAAGGCAGCUGGCUACACAAAUAUUGACGCUGAGGCACGAAAGCGUGGGGAUCAAACAGGAUUAGAUACCCUGGUAGUCCACGCCCUAAACGAUGAUUACUCGACAUACGCGAUACACAGUGUGUGUCUGANCGAAAGCAUUAAGUAAUCCACCUGGGAAGUACGACCGCAAGGUUGAAACU